This 331-nucleotide long non-coding RNA is filed under the name Nicotiana benthamiana. RNAcentral's name for it is "long non-coding RNA (NBEN_LNC008909)". Lineage: Eukaryota; Viridiplantae; Streptophyta; Magnoliopsida; Solanales; Solanaceae. The record is from RNAcentral.
UAAGGUAGUAGAGUCCGUCUGAUUCAAGUCCUGUUCCAAUCGUCUGUCCCGUACUGCGGUCCUGCAUAAUAAAAGAGUCAUCAAUAAAGGUUCUAGGGAAAUAUAGAGGUUUCCUUAUUAAGACUCUAGAACCCUAUAGAAUUGUUAGGAAAGUCCUUUGAAGAAUCUAGUUGUGUAGAAUAUUCUAAAGAAGGGACUUAAUUUUAAAUAUGGAAGGACUUGUAGAACAAUUAUUAUUUACAUACUAACCCCUCGGUGAUUAGUAUAAAUAGGGAGCAUUCAUUUGUAAUUUAUCAACCAAGCAAACAAUUCAAGUUCUCUCCAAUACAAA